Molecule: unclassified non-coding RNA, 403 nt
Filed under: Hevea brasiliensis (rubber tree)
Lineage: Eukaryota; Viridiplantae; Streptophyta; Magnoliopsida; Malpighiales; Euphorbiaceae
Source: RNAcentral
GGAAAAUGCUAUCUGAUGCCACAGAUCCAGUUGAGUACUUGGUAUCGCGCUGGGGAACUGACCCAGAUUCCCUUGGAGCUUAUACCUGUGAUUUAGUUGGGAAACCAGCUGAUUUGUGCGAGAGGCUUGCUGCUCCUGUGGAUAACCUAUACUUCGCUGGGGAAGCGACUAGCGCUGAUCAUUCUGGGUCCGUUCAUGGUGCUUAUUCAUCGGGUCUCAUUGCUGCUGAAGAUUGUCGAAGGCAUCUGUCAAUGCGGCAUGGUAUUUCCGAUCUCUUAAAGAUUGCAAUGAGGGAAGAGUUGAGUGAGAUUAUGGUCCCCCUCCAAAUUUCGAGGAUGUAAUUUGGUUAGGAUAUUCUUUUGAAUCUUUUCGCACAGAUGUGUUGAAGUUUCCUUAGACAACC